This 2877-nucleotide ribosomal RNA is filed under the name Bulboplastis apyrenoidosa. Its description in RNAcentral is "bacterial LSU rRNA". It matches the Rfam family "Bacterial large subunit ribosomal RNA". Lineage: Eukaryota; Rhodophyta; Rhodellophyceae; Dixoniellales; Dixoniellaceae. The record is from RNAcentral.
UCAAGUGAAUAAGGGCUUACGACGGAUACCUUGGUGUUUAGAAGCGAUGAAGGGCAUGGCUACCAGUGUAAUGCUUCGGGGAGCUGGAAGCAAGCUUUGAUCCGGAGGUUCCCGAAUGAGGAAACUUGUAUAUUUUUUGUGGAAUUAAUAAAGCAAAAAAAGCGAACCUAGUGAAUUGAAACAUCUUAUUAGCUAGAGGAAAAGAAAGCAAAAGCGAUUCCCUGAGUAGCGGCGAGCGAAACGGGAACAGCCUAAACCAUACAAACAGUAUGGGGUUGUGGGACGAUAUAACGUAGAAUGAUUGCUAGGUGAAAACUUUGGAAUAUUUUGCCAUAGAAGGUGAAAGCCCUGUAAUCGAAAGCAUAAUUUCGCAAAUCGUAUCCCGAGUAGUAUGGUGCACGUGAAACACCGUAUGAAUCUGCGAGGACCACCUCGUAAGGCUAAAUAUUCCUAAGCAACCGAUAGUGAACCAGUACCGUGAGGGAAAGGUGAAAAGAACCCCGGGAGGGGAGUGAAAUAGAACAUGAAAUCGUAAGCCUACAAGCAGUGGAAGGACGACUAAUCGUUUAACCUCGUGCCUGUUGAAGAAUGAGCCGGCGACUUGUAGGUAAUGGCAGGUUAAAGUUAUGAAGCUGAAGCCAUAGCGAAAGCGAGUCUGAACAGGGCGUUUGUCAUUAUUUACAGACCCGAACCCGGAUGAUCUAGCCAUGACCAGAAUGAAGCUUAAGUAACACUAAGUGGAGGUUCGAACCGACUGAUGUUGAAAAAUCAGCGGAUGAGUUGUGGCUAGGGGUGAAAUGCCAAUCGAAUUCGGAGCUAGCUGGUUCUCCUCGAAAUGCGUUUAGGCGCAGCGGUUAACGCUAUAACUUAGGGGUAAAGCACUGUUUUGAUGAUGGCUUCGAAAGUUGUACUGAAUUAAUGCAAACUCUGAAUACUAAGUGUGUAGUUAACCAGUGAGACAGUGGGGGAUAAGCUUCAUUGUCAAAAGGGAAACAGCCCAGAUUACCAGCUAAGGCCCCUAAAUAACUGCUAAGUGGUAAAGGAGGUGAAAAUGCGUAGACAGCCAGAAGGUUCGCUUAGAAGCAGCAAUCCUUUAAAGAGUGCGUAAUAGCUCACUGGUCAAGUGAUUUUGCGCCGAAAAUGAACGGGACUAAGCAGUUUGCCGAAGCUGUAAGAUACUUUUGUAUCGGUAGAGGAGCGUUCUGUAUGAGGUUGAAGCAUUAGCGUGAGCGGGUGUGGACGAUACAGAAGUGAGAAUGUCGGCUUGAGUAGCGAAAACAUUGGUGAGAAUCCAAUGCCCCGAAAACCUAAGGUUUCCUUUGGAAGGUUCGUCCGCGAAGGGUGAGUCAGGACCUAAGGCGAGACUGAAAAGUGUAGUCGAUGGAUAACAGGUUAAUAUUCCUGUACCGUUUGAUGUUUGCAUCGAAGGACGGAGUCAGCUAAGUCAGCCAGGUAUUGGUUACUGGUUUAAGCAUACGAGGUGUUGAUAGAUAGUGAAAAUAUCUUGAGCUAAGUAGUGAAUACAAGGUACUUCGGUACUAAAGUGACUGAUGUUAUACUUCCAAGAAAAGUUCGUAAUGCGUUAAGCAUCAAACGCCUGUACCGUAAACCGACACAGGUGGGUAGGUAGAGUAUACUAAGGGGCGCGAGAUAACUCUCUUUAAGGAACUCGGCAAAAUGGCCCCGUAACUUCGGAAGAAGGGGUACCUUUUAAUCAAGGUUGCAAUAAAUAGACCCAAGCGACUGUUUACCAAAAACACAGGUCUCCGCGAAGUCGUAAGACAAUGUAUGGGGGCUGACGCCUGCCCAGUGCCGGAAGGUUAAAGAAGUUGGUUAGUUCUUUAGAAUGAAGCUAGCGACUGAAGCCCCGGUGAACGGCGGCCGUAACUAUAACGGUCCUAAGGUAGCGAAAUUCCUUGUCGGGUAAGUUCCGACCCGCACGAAAGGCGUAACGACUUGGGUGCUGUCUCGAAGAGAGACUCGGCGAAAUAGACAUGUCUGUGAAGAUGCGGACUACCUGCACCUGGACAGAAAGACCCUAUGAAGCUUUACUGUAUUUUGGAAUUGGGUUUCGACUUUUCUUGCGCAGAAUAGGUGGGAGGCUAUGAUCAUAUUCUUGCGGGAGUAUAGGAGCCACCAGUGAGAUACCACUCUAGGCAAGCUGAAAUUCUAACUUUGUUAGCCGUUAUCCGGCCAAAGAACAGUUCCAGAUAGACAGUUUGACUGGGGCGGUCGCCUCCUAAAAGGUAACGGAGGCGUGCAAAGGUUCCCUCAGGCUGGUCGGAAAUCAGUCGUAGAGUGUAAAGGUAUAAGGGAGCUUGACUGCGAGACUUACAAGUCGAGCAGAGACGAAAGUCGGCCUUAGUGAUCCGGCGGUUCCGAGUGGAAGGGCCGUCGCUCAACGGAUAAAAGUUACUCUAGGGAUAACAGGCUGAUCUCCCCCAAGAGUUCACAUCGACGGGGAGGUUUGGCACCUCGAUGUCGGCUCGUCGCAUCCUGGGGCGGUAGUACGUCCCAAGGGUUGGGCUGUUCGCCCAUGAAAGCGGCACGCGAGCUGGGUUCAGAACGUCGUGAGACAGUUCGGUCCAUAUCCGGUGUAGGCGUUAGAGUAUUGAGAGACCUUCUUUCUAGUACGAGAGGACCGAAAGAAACAUACCGCUGGUGUACCAGUUAUCGUUCCAACGGUAAACGCUGGGUAGCUAUGUGUGGAAAGAAUAACCGCUGAAAGCAUCUAAGUGGGAAAUCAGUCUCAAGAUGAGUACUCUCUCUACUUAUAGUAGUUAAGGUCACGGAAAGAUCAUCCGUUUGAUAGGUACUAAGUGUAAGUGCAGUAAUGUAUUGAGCUGAGGUAUACUAAUAGACCGAGGACUUGAAAAU